AUUUCUACAACUGGAAUCGAGUUUUUGUCAAAUAUUGUGAUGGUGCAUCGUUUACUGGUAACAGCAUUGAUCCAGUGAACAAACUUCAUUACAAAGGAGAAAAGAUCUUCAGUGCCAUUGUAAAGGAUCUACUGGGAAAAGGGAUGAGCAAUGCAACAAAGGCUCUCAUCUCUGGAUGUUCAGCUGGUGGAUUAUCAGCAAUACUGAAUUGCGAUAAAUUCCGCUCUCUCCUCCCCGCACACACUACUGUGAAAUGUGCUUCUGACGCUGGCUACUUUCUA
RNA transcript from Daucus carota subsp. sativus, 281 nucleotides. RefSeq lists it as uncharacterized. The transcript has 3 exons. The record is from RefSeq and is a predicted model, not a curated record. Lineage: Eukaryota; Viridiplantae; Streptophyta; Magnoliopsida; Apiales; Apiaceae.